UCUUCGGAUCUAGUGGCGGACGGGUGCGUAACGCGUGGGAAUAUACCCUUGGGUACGGAAUAACUCACCGAAAGGUGUGCUAAUACCGUAUAAUGACUUCGGUCCAAAGAUUCAUCGCCCAUGGAUUAGCCCGCGUUAGAUUAGUUUGUUGGUGGGGUAAUGGCCUACCAAGACUACGAUCUAUAGCUGGUCUGAGAGGAUGAUCAGCCACACUGGGACUGAGACACGGCCCAGACUCCUACGGGAGGCAGCAGUGGGGAAUAUUGGGCAAUGGGCGAAAGCCUGACCCAGCCAUGCCGCGUGAGUGAUGACGGCCCUAGGGUUGUAAAGCUCUUUCAAUGGUGAAGAUAAUGACGGUAACCAUAGAAGAAGCCCCGGCUAACUUCGUGCCAGCAGCCGCGGUAAUACGAAGGGGGCAAGCGUUGUUCGGAAUUACUGGGCGUAAAGGGCGCGUAGGCGGUCCGUUAAGUCAGAUGUGAAAGCCCAGGGCUCAACCCUGGAACUGCAUUUGAUACUGGCGGACUUGAGUAUCAGAGAGGUAAGCGGAAUUCCCAGUGUAGAGGUGAAAUUCGUAGAUAUUGGGAGGAACACCAGUUGCGUAGGCGGCUUACUGGCUGAUGACUGACGCUGAGGCGCGAAAGCGUGGGGAGCAAACAGGAUUAGAUGCCCUGGUAGUCCACGCCGUAAACGAUGUAUACUAGUUGUCGGGUUUAACUCGGUGACUGAGCUAACGUAUUAAGUAUACCGCCUGGGGAGUACGGCCGCAAGGCUAAAACUCAAAGGAAUUGACGGGGACCCGCACAAGCGGUGGAGCAUGUUGCUUAAUCCGAUGAUACGCGAGAAACCUUACCCGCUCUUGACAUGUAUGUUGUGACUUCUGGAAACAGAUAUCUUUGGUUCGCCCAGGCAUACACAGGUGUUGCAUGGCCGUCGUCAGCUCGUGUCGUGAGAUGUUCGGUUAAGUCCGGCAACGAGCGCAACCCCUUUCAUUAGUUGCCAGCAUUUAGUUGGGGACUCUAAUGAUACUGCCGGUGAUAAGCCGGAGGAAGGUGGGGAUGACGUCAGGUCAUCAUGGCCCUUACGAGCGGGGCUGCAAACGUGCUACAAUGGUGGUGACAGUGGGCAGCGACACAGCAAUGUGAAGCGAAUCCCAAAAAACCAUCUCAGUUCGGAUUGGGGGCUGCAACUCGCCCCCAUGAAGUCGGAAUCGCUAGUAAUCGUAGAUCAGAAUGCUACGGUGAAUACGUUCCCGGGUCUUGUACACACCGCCCGUCAAGUCAUGGGAGUUGGUUCUACCUGAAGAUAGUUCGCUAACCGUAAGGGGGCAGCUAGCCACGGUAGGAUCAGUGACUGGGACUAAGUCGUAACAAGGUA
Molecule: ribosomal RNA, 1374 nt
Filed under: metagenome
Description: bacterial SSU rRNA
Rfam family: Bacterial small subunit ribosomal RNA
Source: RNAcentral